Long non-coding RNA from Sinocyclocheilus rhinocerous, 220 nucleotides. RefSeq lists it as uncharacterized. Lineage: Eukaryota; Metazoa; Chordata; Actinopteri; Cypriniformes; Cyprinidae. The record is from RefSeq and is a predicted model, not a curated record. The transcript has 3 exons.
GGAAUUUACUGAAGUGUGAAUAUGGCUCAUUUCCCAGAUCAUCAGGUACAGAGGAAACAUCCAAAAGCGCAGAAAGCACUUUAAUAGACUCGUUGGACUACAAUGUCAUGAACACCGACAUCUGAGCUCCUCUGUGGGCUCUGCUCUACGGUGCAAUGACUCCACAGGUCACGUUGUGUCCAGAGCACCCAACAAACUCAUAAUAAUUCAUACAAGAUGG